GCAUAUCAAUAAGCGGAGGAAAAGAAACUAACAAGGAUUCCCCUAGUAGCGGCGAGCGAAGCGGGAAAAGCUCAAAUUUGUAAUCUGGCGUCUACGACGUCCGAGUUGUAAUCUCGAGAAGUGUUUUCCGUGAUAGACCGCAUACAAGUCUCUUGGAACAGAGCGUCAUAGUGGUGAGAACCCAGUACACGAUGCGGAUGCCUAUUACUUUGUGAUACACUUUCGAAGAGUCGAGUUGUUUGGGAAUGCAGCUCAAAUUGGGUGGUAAAUUCCAUCUAAAGCUAAAUAUUGGCGAGAGACCGAUAGCGAACAAGUACCGUGAGGGAAAGAUGAAAAGCACUUUGGAAAGAGAGUUAACAGUACGUGAAAUUGUUGGAAGGGAAACACAUGCAGCCAGACUUGCUAUUCGGGGCAACUCGAUUGGCAGGCCCGCAUCAGUUUUUCGGGGCGGAAAAUCAUAGAGAGAAGGUAGCAAUUUCGGUUGUGUUAUAGCUCUUUAUUGGAUUCGCCCUGGGGGACUGAGGAACGCAGCGUGCUUUUAGCAUAAGCUUCGGCUUAUCCACGCUUAGGAUGCGGGUGUAAUGGCUGUAUAUGACCCGUCUUGAAACACGGACCAAGGAGUCUAACAUGCUUGCGAGUAUUUGGGUGUCAAACCC
This 656-nucleotide ribosomal RNA is filed under the name Sporobolomyces roseus. RNAcentral's name for it is "partial large subunit ribosomal RNA". It matches the Rfam family "Eukaryotic large subunit ribosomal RNA", at positions 38 to 709 of the family's 3401-position model. The record is from RNAcentral. Lineage: Eukaryota; Fungi; Basidiomycota; Microbotryomycetes; Sporidiobolales; Sporidiobolaceae.